GGGGAGGGCUAUGUCCGUGCUCACAGCCCUGGCGUGGGAGGGUGACUGGCGAGAGGACAUGUGUUCAUGGUGCCUGUGUCCUUCAUAACUUGGGUCACAGCAGUUUCCAACAAGAAAGAGAACUGAAACAACCAGGGAAUUCCCUGGCAAGGAGAAGUCCUGCCCAGUCUGCAUCUUUCAGAAGCCAGGAGGAAUGCCCCAGGAACACUGAACUCCACUGUGUGGGAGCUUGAGGGGCCUGUGCUGCCCAUGCCGAGUGUCCACCAUCUCACACUGCUUCUAACACCUUCAAGCCAUCUCCUGAAUCUGGAAUAGUCAUCAUGAGCUGGAGGCUUCCUCAGAAGAACCCUAAAAUCAAGGGGGAUUCUGGUGCCAAGAAAAAUAGCCCAACCCAGCUUCACAGCUGUGAGCCUCCAAUGCGCCCCAGGAAGCUGCCAUCACCAUGGGUAGCGCGACCUGGCUUGAUUUUGCCAAAACAAAGGAAAAUUCCUCCAGCAAUUUCUGUGAAUUUGUUUUGCAAAACUGAAUUGUCUGCUUUUAAUUCCCCUAUACCAAUUAAAUAAAAAUUGGAAUUUAAAAUCCAGUGAAUGACAGAAACCUCACUUUGGAGUGGAUGACAGACCCCACGCAACCUGGGGUCUGGGGUAGAGAAGUGAGAUGCUGGGAACUUCCAGGGAGUGGCGG
This 684-nucleotide long non-coding RNA is filed under the name Homo sapiens (human). RNAcentral's name for it is "HSALNT0094775". Lineage: Eukaryota; Metazoa; Chordata; Mammalia; Primates; Hominidae. The record is from RNAcentral.